CCUACGGGAGGCAGCAGUAGGGAAUCUUCCACAAUGGGCGAAAGCCUGAUGGAGCAACGCCGCGUGGGUGAAGAAGGUCUUCGGAUCGUAAAACCCUGUUGUUAGAGAAGAAAGUGCGUGAGAGUAACUGUUCACGUUUCGACGGUAUCUAACCAGAAAGCCACGGCUAACUACGUGCCAGCAGCCGCGGUAAUACGUAGGUGGCAAGCGUUAUCCGGAUUUAUUGGGCGUAAAGGGAACGGAGGCGGUCUUUUAAGUCGGAUGUGAAAGCCUUCGGCUUAACCGGAGUAGUGCAUUGGAAACUGGGAGACGUGAGUGCAGAAGAGGAGAGUGGAACGCCAUGUGUAGCGGUGAAAUGCGUAGAUAUAUGGAAGAACACCAGUGGCGAAAGCGGCUCUCUGGUCUGUAACUGACGCUGAGGUUCGAAAGCGUGGGUAGCAAACAGGAUUAGAUACCCUUGUAGUC
This 465-nucleotide ribosomal RNA is filed under the name uncultured bacterium. RNAcentral's name for it is "partial 16S ribosomal RNA". It matches the Rfam family "Bacterial small subunit ribosomal RNA", at positions 338 to 795 of the family's 1533-position model. The record is from RNAcentral.